Molecule: long non-coding RNA, 564 nt
Filed under: Olea europaea (common olive)
Lineage: Eukaryota; Viridiplantae; Streptophyta; Magnoliopsida; Lamiales; Oleaceae
Description: long non-coding RNA (OEUR_LNC002985)
Source: RNAcentral
UCAAUCUCUCUCUUCACUCUUUCAUAUUUGUUUUUAUUUUCUCUCUAUAGUUGUUCUUUCUGCCACCAAAAUCACUAAUGGUCUCUUCUUGCACUAUUGAUACGUUGAUAGAUAUUAUUUGUUGUGAACUAUAAAUCUUUUUCUUCUUCAUUUAUUCCAUCGACCAAAAUCUUAGCCUCCAAAAUUCAAUCGACGCUGGCGUUUUGCUUCUUUAUCAUCUCUGUAAAUCCAAAUCCACUUGUUGAAUGUAGAUUUGGCUGAUUCGAUCUGCGUGUAUCAAUUGAAGAUCCGUUUAGGGACAGAAAGAUAAACACAUCGGUCUGAAGUUUCCUCUUCCUUCCAUAUGUUAUCACGCACAAUUUUUUUUUCCUUUUAGAUUUUGUGGGAAGAACAAGGAAAAUGGUCUUUGAUCCCGCUGAUUAAAGGUUUCCAGUCAAUAAGGUUUUGAUAAUCAAUAGAUUCGGGGAAAUGGGUAUUUGAUAAAAUUGGAAAAUUUGGAUGUACGAGUCUUUGAUUUUGUUAUUCGAUCCUACUUUUCCCUACUAUAUAAAAAGGGCAAUGUUU